GUGUCCUACGGGGGGCAGCAGUGGGGAAUAUUGCGCAAUGGGCGAAAGCCUGACGCAGCGACGCCGCGUGAGGGAUGAAGGUCUUCGGAUCGUAAACCUCUGUCAGCAGGGAAGAACGGUCACUGUGCUAAUCAGCAGUGAAUUGACGGUACCCAAAGAGGAAGCUCCGGCUAACUACGUGCCAGCAGCCGCGGUAAUACGUAGGGAGCAAGCGUUGUCCGGAAUUACUGGGUGUAAAGGGAGCGUAGGCGGGAUGGCAAGUAGAAUGUUAAAUCCAUCGGCUCAACCGGUGGCUGCGUUCUAAA
Molecule: ribosomal RNA, 305 nt
Filed under: uncultured bacterium
Lineage: Bacteria
Description: bacterial SSU rRNA
Rfam family: Bacterial small subunit ribosomal RNA
Source: RNAcentral